CUACAGGGGUAUCUAAUCCUGUUUGCUACCCACACUUUCGAGCCUCAACGUCAGUUGCAGUCCAGUAAGCCGCCUUCGCCACUGGUGUUCUUCCAUAUAUCUACGCAUUCCACCGCUACACAUGGAGUUCCACUUACCUCUACUGCACUCAAGUUAACCAGUUUCCAAUGCCAUUCCGGAGUUGAGCUCCGGGCUUUCACAUCAGACUUAAUAAACCGUCUGCGCUCGCUUUACGCCCAAUAAAUCCGGAUAACGCUCGGGACAUACGUAUUACCGCGGCUGCUGGCAC
RNAcentral lists this ribosomal RNA (289 nucleotides) under uncultured Leuconostoc sp. RNAcentral's name for it is "partial 16S ribosomal RNA". Lineage: Bacteria; Bacillati; Bacillota; Bacilli; Lactobacillales; Lactobacillaceae. The record is from RNAcentral.